This 253-nucleotide ribosomal RNA is filed under the name uncultured bacterium. RNAcentral's name for it is "partial 16S ribosomal RNA". It matches the Rfam family "Bacterial small subunit ribosomal RNA", at positions 524 to 776 of the family's 1533-position model. The record is from RNAcentral.
UACGUAGGGGGCUAGCGUUGUCCGGAUUUAUUGGGCGUAAAGAGCGUGUAGGCGGCCAGGUAGGUCUGGUGUGAAAACUCGAGGCUUAACCUCGAGAUGUCAUCGGAAACCAUCUGGCUAGAGUCCGGAAGAGGAGAGUGGAAUUCCUGGUGUAGCGGUGAAAUGCGCAGAUAUCAGGAAGAACACCAAUGGCGAAGGCGGCUCUCUGGGACGGUACUGACGCUGAGACGCGAAAGCGUGGGGAGCGAACAGG